CAUUACAAGUGAGGCUACCGAACGUUGGAAACAGCGGUUAGGAGCUUACACCCACCCGUGUUUACAUACUAUUGUUGCUUUGGCGGGCCGUGGCCUCCACUGCGGGCUCUGCUCGUGUGUGCCCGCCAGAGAACCAAACUCUGAAUGUUAGUGAUGUCCGAGUACUAUCUAAUAGUUAAAACUUUCAACAACGGAUCUCUUGGUUCUGGCAUCGAUGAAGAACGCAGCGAAAUGCGAUAAGUAAUGUGAAUUGCAGAAUUCAGUGAAUCAUCGAAUCUUUGAACGCACAUUGCGCCCUGUGGUAUUCCGCAGGGCAUGCCUGUUCGAGCGUCAUUUAACCACUCACGCCUAGCGUGUAUUGGGGCACGCGGUCUCCGCGGCCCUCAAAAUUAGUGGCGGCGCCGGUGGGCUCUAAGCGUAGUACAUACUCCCGCUAUAGAGUUCCCCCGGUGGCUCGCCAGAACCCCAAUUUUUACAGGUUG
Molecule: ribosomal RNA, 482 nt
Filed under: uncultured fungus
Lineage: Eukaryota; Fungi
Description: eukaryotic LSU rRNA
Rfam family: 5.8S ribosomal RNA (bases 180-333)
Source: RNAcentral